CAACCGCACUCGUGUGCGAAAGGGAUUCGCCAGUCAGCUCCGCGCGCGCCGCACCGCGUCUCGUCUCGAGUCGCGCAGGUCCACAAUCCCCACAGCACAAACCCUAGCCUUCCCAAACCCCGCAGCGCCGCACUCCCUCGUCCUCCUCCGUCCUUCCUCGUCAGCCAUCGCCGCCAUUCCGCCUCGCUCCUCUCUGUCCGACGACCAUGCCACCAGGAGGAAGCUGCCGCGCAAGAGGUCAGGGGCCGCCGCCACCGCGAGCCAGUGGACGACCGUUGCGAGCCUUUGGGCAGGAAGCCGACGGGGAGCACGCAACAAAGCCGCGGCUGCCGCCAGGGUCUUCUCGCUAGAGGUGGAGGAGCAGGGGAUCCCGCCAGAUCCGAGGCAUGAGGGCGCGGCGGCGAGCAUCUCCAGCAACGGGGGCGACCUGCAGGCAAACGGCGAUAGCUGGGGCGCACGAUUCGGUCCUGUGCCAUGAGCUUGUCCCUGCAGGAGAGAGAAAAGAUGUGGGGAAGAGAGAAGGAAGGAGAUGAAGGAGAAAGAGAGAGGAAAGAGGAGAGGAAGGUGCAGCGGCAGAUGGAGGAACACAAGCCGGCACAGGCCAUUCGCAUCUCUCCUCCUCUCCUGCCUUGACCACCACCGUGCCCCUCCUCCCCCCCUUCGCUUCUCUCCAUAUCCUCAUUCUUUGGAGCUAGCUGAUUGGUCAACACCGAGGAAGACGAGGAAGACAGAGCCAGAGGAAGAUGGCCCAGCCCUGCUGUCGACGCCCACCGGCCACCCCGUUUUUUUUUUUGUUCUUUAGUUUUGGAUCAAAGUUCUCUUUUAUCUUGAGUGUCCCUUUUUGGCAUAAAAUGGAUUCAACAACCAAUUUUAGCUAAGAACAAACUAUUAGUGAGGAAGGGCAAACUGACAGAGGUGGGCAAAACCAAAAAAAGGAUUGAGGAAGAGGUGGGCAAAACAACUUGAGCAAAGAGCUAAAUCACUAUGAAAUGCUACUUUCCAGUGAUUAAUUUCGUCCUUUUAAUUUUUCAGUAGAGAACUCAAAAGUUUAAUGAAGAUAGAAAGUUGCAUUUUAUUCUUAUCCACAUGGUUACUAAAUUUACAUUUUUAUCUGGAAAGAGGUGGCCUUAAACAAGUUAAUUUGCAUUUUAUUCUUAUUCACAUGGUUACUGAAUUUACUUUUUUAUUUGGAAAGAGGUAGCCUUAAAAAAAUAGAUUUUUUUACCAGAAUCUCUCUUAAACUAACCUGCUACAAAUAUAAAAUGGCAUUGCAUUGUUACUUCAGUGGGAAGUUCCUAUACAUAUUCUCUGUUUCUCCGGAAUUGGUUGAAAGUGUUUCUUCUGCUAUCCACUCUCUCACUAGGCUUGUUACCUUUGUUGCUGAAUUUUGCAUUGCUACAGAUGGAAGGCGUUGCGCUAUUGAAGGAGUCCAUCAAGAACUGGAGGCAAUGGCCUAUGACAUGGGGAGGUAUGUGCUUCAUGAUUGUUGUUGGUUAAUUGAGAGUAUGUGAUGCUCGAACAAAUGAUGUGCAAGCAGACUAAAUCUUUUAUCGACAUCUAGAACUUAAUGUUUCAUGUUAAGAAAAGUAUAUCCCAUAUUUCCCCUUAGUGGCAGAGAGCAUAUUUGAGCAGCUGACUGGAGGCUGGGCAUUUGCGUCAGUUUGAUUUGUUUGCGUAUGUUCACUGUUUUCUGUUUUCCAAGUGUUGAGUGGCUACAUUUUUGUUCGCUUUGCUGCUGUUGUGCUUGAUAUAAGAAAGACUAGGGGCAUGACAGUUGGGCAUGGGGCAUAAACAAGUCAUAGUAUCAGCGUCCAUGCCUAUAUGUCAGGUUAUAUGCCUUUGUAAUGUAAUCAUCCGUGUAUGUCAAUGGCAGUGGUUUAAAAUACGUAAGCUGAUGCAUCUUGUGCUUGCUUGUCACUGUGUUUCUACUAGGCAAGGUCUGGAAUAGAUUAUAUAUAUUCAUUCAAAUAUGACGUGGUCUUCUUCCUUUGCCUUUGUCAACAUAUUUAUUUGGGCGUUCCUUUUCUCUGUACUUUGUUUGGGCAGUGUUUUUCCCUACGCAUGUCCUUUUUUAUUAUAAGUUCAUGGGCUAAUUUGGUCAUAAUAUAACCCUGUCCUAAAAGUGCUCUUGCACUGCAGAAUUCUCUUAUUUACAUGUUUGGUCACAAUAUAGCUCUGUCCUAAAAUCCACUUUGCUUUCAGUUUGCAUCUGUACGACCCGGAUAGAUAUACUCUAGACCUUGAUAUAUGAGUACGUAAUUGAAGAAUUGGACAUCUUGGUCAUUGCGGAUUUUCUCUGUUCAUUUUAAAAAGAGUAUUACAAAUUUACAAUUCUCCGGGAGCAACACUCCUGAGGUAGCUAUUCAUCCAUGUUGCUUUUUAGAAAACUUGCGACCACAGAGGCCGAAGUCGCCACCCUGUAAUGUCGCGCUGAUGGUAGCCCAUACUGCUUUGCCGAUGAAUAAUAUUGUAACAGCUAAUGCUUGAAUUUUUCAUACCGCUUCAGCUAACCUGUGAAUAGGUCUGCACUCUGCACCUACAUAUUUUGAUGAUCGUACACUGCUGCCGUGGCUGGGCAAUAUGAUGAUAGUUUAAUGAAGCUUUUGAAUAUUCUAUUAGCAUAGCUCUGACAGGUAAGGAUACUUUAGGUUGUAGCUCAACUAUGUAUCUGUGGAUAUUAAUCUUACAACAUGCUAUUUCUUCUUUUUUUUUUGGACUUAAAAUUUCUGCGAAUUGUGGCUUAACUAUGAUACUUUAGGUCGCAUGCUCAAUUAUGUAUAUGUGAAUUGUGGCUCAGCUAUGAGGUUUUUAAUGAACGUUUCGAGUAUUCUAUUACUACGUCUUUGAAAGGUUAGGAUACUUUAGGUCUCAACCAUGCCUCUCCAUUUCCCGCCUUCCCCGCUAAGCCAGAAGAGGUGGUAUAAUGGAGCAAGCAUCAGGUGACAAGGCUUAUUUCUUUAUUUGGACCUAAAUUUCUGAGUCUGCUGUCAUAGACCUUAUGUUAAUAUCCAUUCCUAGUCGUACUCCUAUUAUUUUGUAUCACCAUUCUACAAAUGCUUCAGCUAAACUUUUCUUUGUUUGAGUUCUUAACGGUUUUGUCAUUUUCCAAUAGAAUUUGCUCCAUAUAUCAGCAGGGGAGGCCCCUACUGUAUCCAUCUAUAUAUUUUUCCUUUCGGAUGCACGUGAUGUGACGUUUAUUCUGGUGUAUGAAAUAAGUAGUUGAUUGUGUAGUCUUUUAAAUGAGCAAGGCAUGAGAGAAAGAUUAUUUUACCAUGGCAACCAUCUUUUAGUUCACAAUUGAGUUGAUGUUCUGUGAGAUCUAAAAAAUAAGUUGACAAUUGGCAUGGUUUGCAUUACAAGUGUGCGUGCCUCCUUUUAUUUGUUCUCUUGUUUUUCAAUUCCUUAUUUGUUAUGGCGCUGCUAGGAGGGCACGAGAGGGCCGACCGGGGGCCUUUUGCCCACGGCCGGGCAAGAGGGAAGGGAUUUCCUUCUUAAUUCUUGCUUGAUUAGAUUGAUACAUCUCCUCUCUUUAUAUAGAGAGGUUUACUUGACUCCCAAGCAAGCGACCCUUAUAACCAUGACUCGACGCAACACAAACCUAACACCUAAAAACAAGCUUUUUACUUCUCGGCUUGUUUUAUUACUCUCAACCUGAAAUGGACUGGGACGCUUUAUUUUGGACCCCUUAACAAAAAGUGGACACCAUCCGCACGUCGGACAUGCAUGUGUACAACCACCUGGAUCCCAUGGACACCAUCUGGACAAAAAGAGUGCAUGGGUAUGGCCACCUGGAAGUGGUCACAAGAGCGACCAGCAGAGGCGCGCCCUUGCAGCGGCCGGCGGAAUGCAGUGGUGCUACGUGGUGCGCUCCUGUCGGUGACACCCUGCCUUCUUCCCACCGGACGGCUGUUGGUCUGCACCGCACAGAGAAGAGUGGAGGGCUUGCGAUGGAGAAUGACAAGGAGGGGUGCGCUCCCCCCCCCCCCCCCCCCCCCAAACCGCCGAUGUCGUAGACUUUGAGGUCGCUAUUCGUGGGGACGAGAUCGAGGUCCUUUGUGCAACGAAGGACAACUGGGAGGAGCGGCAGCUGCAAACCACGCAUCUCCCGCACACGCCGACGCGCUAGGAGACCGCGCGCAGCAGCCUGCAGCCUCACCGCCGCCGACACGUGGUGGGUAGCGAUCCAAGCCGGAAGCGGUGACGGCGACGACGGGAACUUGAUCUGCUGGAUGGGGACGCCCUGGGAAAGCGGUGAUGGCGAUGGCGGGAACUUGAUCUGGUGGGCCGGGACUCCCGUCGGCGCGGUCGAUGUGGGGCCGGAGCUGACCGGCGGGGGCCGCUGCAGCUGCUGCGGUGUCGCGUCGGGCAGCGGCAGCGGCUGCGGCGGCAGAGCGCCGGGCGCAGCGGAGGCCACCAGGAGCGGCGGCUGCCACUGCAGCCAGGGCGGGGCGGUGGAUGGCAGCUGCAGCGGCCCGACGAGCACGGCAGAGGCCGCCAGAAGCGGCGGUUGCCACUGCAGCUAGGGCGGGGCGGUGGAUGGCAGCUGCAGCGGCUCGACGAGUGCGGCGGCUGCCACGGCGGCGCAGCCUGGUGCGGCCCGUAGGACCCGGCCAAGAACAGGCGGAUCUCCUGGACCGCCUGGUUUAGGUCCCGCGGCGCCCCGGACACUUCCUCCGAGGUGAGGACGGCGGGGGCAGGCGCGACGGAGGAUCCCGGCGCGGGCAGGAGCGGGGCGACGGUCGUGGUGGUCGGCGACGAGGUGACCGGCAGCGGGAGAGACGGGUUAGGCGGCGGUGAAGACAUGAUCGAACCGAAGUUAGCUGGUACCAAAUUUCUAUAAGGUUUUUGUAAUUAUGUUUAUGUUAGAAGGUUUAGAUGCCAUACUCUGCAUGGACUGUUACUAAAAGAAAUUUCCGUUGUUCUUAGGUACUAAUCAGGUUAAUGACGCCGCCGAAUAGCUGUCGUUGGCUAUAAUGUGAUUAGGUACCAAUCCUGUUAUUAAAGCUGUUAUGGUAUAUGCUGCUGCUACAUAAUUAUACUCUUAUGUGGUCAGCCAAGUGUUCUUCUAGAUCUACCUUUGUGUAAUGUAUAACUGAAGUACGACCAUUUUCUUGCAUAAACUAAGCAUACUAGGAAGAAUACAAUGCCAAAAUAACUGUUAAAAUUUUGUGCGGCAAGAGUAAAUUGCCUUUUCUGUGCUUCAGAGUAGAUUGCUACAACAGAAUGUUCACAGUCACUAUUCCAAGUUUUUUGUGUGUCAGCCUGUCAGGCCUUAAGAGUAAAUUGCCUUUUCUGUACAUUCUGUUUGGCCGUUUGUUUGUUCUUGUGGCUUCCAAAAAAGAACCCUGGAAUGUUUGUUCUGCCAGGGCAGCUCUCUUUGGCUAGGACAUUUUGGCUAAAAAAACAUAAAUGAACCUAAAAUGUAUUAAUAUUUUAUAUCACUUUUUGUAUUGAUGUCCUUCAUGCAUGCUCAUCUACCAAGAGGUCAAUCCAAUAAUGCCACGCGCUCUUCAUCAGGCGCCAAGCCCUCCGAUGCCCAGCCGUGCGCUGUUGUCUCUGCCUGAAGAAGGAUUAUGGUCCUCCACCUCUCUGCUACUCGUAUUAAAAUUCCGGUGUGUUCUUUCUUUCUUUAUUUUCUGUCAACAAAAAGGUGAACCUGUUCUUAAUUUCCCAUAAUGAUUUCAAUGGAAAUUUGUGAGUGUAUUUCUAGCUGGAAUUGCAUGUAUAUCUUACAAAUUUACAUAGCAACAAAUUAAUAAGGAGAAUAGAAGCAUUUGCGUCCAUCUAACAUAUUUGUAUGGUAUUUUAAAAAAAGCUCAAGGUUAGAGAUAUGGCGCUGUAUGAGGCUAUCAUUAGGAUGGAAAAUAAAUUAAUGUUAAAAUAUUGCUUGAGUUUCCUUCAUUCUGUAAACCGCAAUACAAGCUAUGUUUGCGCAAUGAUUCUAUUCCAAUUUUUUUUAACAACUGGCAAUUAACAACACAUCAAAUGUUCUGUAUUGAAAUGGAUCAUUUUGUCAGGUUGGGUUUAGUAGGUCAUAAUGGUUUUAUUCCACGACAGGGUUAAUUUUGUUUAUAUUGUAACCAGUUCAGGUAAUACAGGGGAAAACAACAUUUUUUUGGUUCGUUUGGUAAGAAUAGUCGGGUAAAAACACCAGCAUGUUGUUUGAGGUGCAUGCAUCGGUUGUAGCGAAGAUGUGCAUAUGACAAUACAUUGCUAACCAUGGAGCACCGCAAGGAUUUAGAAUAUGUACCGCAACUUAGAGACUUGACACAUUGCCACUUGCUCCUACCACCAUGCAAGUGGGCGAUGCUUUAGUGUUGAACUAUUGAUUAAUCCCUCUUUUUUCUUUAAUCUAUGUGAUGGUGCCCCUUAUCAUAAAUAAUUGUUAUGUGGAUUCAAUAUAAAGGAUGUUUUAAACAUGUUUGAUAGUUAUAAAAACAAAUGUCAUUGACGAUACAUAUUGCUAUUA
This is a long non-coding RNA of Triticum aestivum (bread wheat), 6469 nucleotides long. RefSeq lists it as uncharacterized. The transcript has 2 exons. The record is from RefSeq and is a predicted model, not a curated record. Lineage: Eukaryota; Viridiplantae; Streptophyta; Magnoliopsida; Poales; Poaceae.